Molecule: ribosomal RNA, 3867 nt
Filed under: Triticum aestivum (bread wheat)
Lineage: Eukaryota; Viridiplantae; Streptophyta; Magnoliopsida; Poales; Poaceae
Description: partial small subunit ribosomal RNA
Source: RNAcentral
AUGACAGAAGUGGCAUUAGCUAUAGCUGGCUUAAGAUUAGCUGCAUCGCCGGUUUUGAAGAAGCUCCUUGCUUAUUCUUCAACGUACCUUGGAGUGGACAUGGCACUUGAGCUCCAUGAACUGGAAGCUACUAUCAUGCCACAGUUCGAGCUGUUGAUUGAAGCAGCAGACAAGGGAAAACACAGGCCCAAGUUGGACAAAUGGCUUGAAGAACUCAAAGAAGCCUUCUACUUGGCUGAAGAAUUGCUGGAAGAGCAUGAGUAUAACCGUCUCAAGCGCCAAGCAAAGGGGAAGGAUUCUUUGCCGCCCAAUGCCUCCACGAUCGGCAGCACUUUUAUGAAGCCUCUGCGUGCUGCAUCAAGCAGGCUGUCCAAUCUGAGCUCUGAGAACAGAAAGCUCCUUCGGCAGCUGCAUGAACUGAAGGCUACCCUGGCGAAAGCCAAGGAGUUCCGUGAACUGCUCUGCUUACCAGCCAUCUAUAAUGCAGAGAGCCCCACCAUACCAUCAGUUGAUGUUCUUGAGGCCACAUCACUACAACCUAUGAAAGUGAUUGGUCGUGACAAGGAUUGCGAUCAUAUAAUUGAUCGCCUUACCAAGACAACUGCUACUACUGAGUCUGAGUCUAGUACAGCUAUGUACUCGGGUUUGGCCAUUGUUGGAGUUGGAGGCAUGGGAAAGUCCACAUUAGCACAACUUGUUUACAAUGACAAGAGGGUAAAAGAAUAUUUUGAUGUGACAAUGUGGGUAAGCAUCUCACGCAAACUUGAUGUCCGUCGUCAUACACGGGAGAUCAUCGAGUCUGUCUCUCAGGGGGAAUGCCCACACAUUGGUAGCCUUGAUACUCUGCAGCACAAGUUGGCAAACAUACUGCAAGAAUCAGGGAAAUUUCUUCUUGUGUUGGAUGAUGUUUGGUUUGAACCUGGCAGUGAGGGGGAAUGGGACCAACUAUUAGCUCCUCUAGUUUCGCAACAGAUGGGAAGCAAAAUUUUGGUAACUUCUCGAAGGAAUACAUUUCCAGCUGCUCUUUGCUGUGAAGUGUGUCCUCUGGAAAACAUGGAAGAUGCUCAGUUCUUGGCACUCUUCAAACACUAUGCAUUCUCUGGACCAAAAAUCAUAGAUCUGCAGUUGCGCGAAAGGCUUGAAGAUUUUGCAGAGAAGGUUGCUAAAAGACUUGGACAAUCUCCUCUGGCGGCAAAAGUUGUGGGUUCCCAGUUGAAAGGGAAAACAUGUACCAAUGCAUGGAAGGAAGCUCUAAAUAUGAAGAUUAACAAAUUAAGUGAGCCCAUGAGAGCUCUAUUAUGGAGCUAUGAGAAGUUAGAUCCAUGUUUGCAGAGGUGCUACCUAUAUUGUAGCUUGUUUCCAAAAGGUCACAAGUAUGUUACGGAUGAGUUGGUUCUUCUUUGGAUGGCAGAGGGCCUUAUUUAUUCUUACAACCAAAACAAGAGUGUGGAAGAUGUCGGGCGGGACUGCUUCAAGGAGAUGAUAUCUGUCUCCUUCUUUCAACCAGUUAAUGAGAAAUAUCAUGUUAUGCAUGAUCUCCUUCAUGAUCUUGCAGAAUCACUCUCCAAAGGGAACUGCUUCAGAUUGGAAGAUGAUAAGGUGACAGAUGUACCAUCCAGUGUUCGACAUCUAUCUGUUCGUGUUGAUAGUAUAAUGCAACACAAGCAAAGUAUCUGCAAGCUACAUCAUUUACGCACUAUUAUCUGCAUAGACCCCCUAAUGGAUGAUGUAGUUGACCUUUUUAACCAGAUACUACAGAAUUUGAAGAAGUUGCGCGUACUAUAUUUGUCAUCUUACAGUAGUAGUAAGUUGCCAGAAUCUGUUGGUGAGUUGAAGCACCUUCGGUAUUUGAAUAUCAUCAGAACAUUGAUUUCUGAAUUGCCAAGAUCUCUGUGUACUCUUUACCACUUGCAGUUACUUCUGUUCAAUCACAAAGUCGAGAAUUUGCCAGAGAAACUCUGCAAUUUAAAGAAGUUACGGCAUCUUGAAUAUCGUCAGGAUCUAUAUUACAUGCCCAAGAAAGCACUGCCUCAAGUUCCUAACAUCGGCAAGCUAACUUCUCUUCAACAAUUUGAAGAAUUUUCAGUGCAAAAUAAAAUGGGUUAUGGGUUGCUACAGCUAAGUGACAUGAACCAGAUCCGUGGAAGUUUAAGUGUCACAAAUCUUGAGAAUGCCACUGGGAAGGAUCAAGCCUUGAAAUCAAAGUUGUAUCAGAAAAUUCAUCUUCGCAGCUUGCAACUUGUCUGGAGUUGCAAGGAUGACACAAACUCUGAACAUAGCUUACAUUUGGAGAUUCUAGAAGGCAUGAUGCCACCGCCUCAACUUGGGGCCCUUAGUAUUCACGGUUACAAAUCGUCAAAAUAUCCAGGCUGGUUACUUGAUGGUUCAUAUUUUGAGAAUUUGGAAUCCUUAAGCUUUGUUGAUUGCAGCAUGGUAGAAAGCCUACCAUCCAACACUGGACUAUUUGGAAAUUGCUCUUCUCUUGCCCUCCGCAAUGUGCCAAACCUGCAGAUGCUACCUUGUCUUCCACUAGGCCUUAAAAUAUUAGUAGUAGAGAAAUGCCCACUGCUUAUAUUUAUCUCCAACAAUGGGCUGGGAUAUCUUGAUCAGAGGGAGAAUAUCAUGAGGACAGACCACUUGGCAUCACAACUUGGUUUAAUCUGGGGGGUGGGUUCAGGAUCAUAUAUGAGGAAUGCGUUCUCAUCUGAACAUUCAGUUCUGAAGCAGCUGAUGAUAUCAAUGCAUGCUGAUGUGUCACAUGUUCAGAACCUUGAAAGUGCUCUAGAAAGAGAGAAAGACGAAGUGUUGGUAAAAGAGGAUAUCAUCAAGGCAUGGAUAUACUGUCAUGAGCGGAGGAUGGGACUCAUGCAUGGAAGGAGCAUUGGGCCGCUGCUGACUCCACCAGAAGGACUUCAUGAACUCACUCUUUCUUCAUGCUAUAUUACAGAUGGAGCUUUAGCUGUUUGCCUUGAUGGCCUGGCUUCACUGGAAAAACUGUUCUUAGCAGAGAUUAUGACUUUAUCUACACUUCCUUCAGAAGAGGUCUUCCAACGUUUGGCAAAACUUGACCGCUUGGACAUCAAACAUUGCUGGUGUCUCAGGUCAUUAGGGGGCUUACGAGCUGCCACCUCUCUUUCAUGUCUCAUAUUGAGUUAUUGCCCUUCUUUAGAGUUGGCAGAUGGAGCAGAAUGCUUGCCAUUAUGCCUUCAAAGAUUAAGUAUAACUGGUUGCGUGCUUGCACCUGACUUCCUCUGCGGUGACUGGCCACACAUGGAUCGUAUUUUCAUAUCCUACAGUAGAAGCACCGCAUGCUUGUCUGUUGGUAAUCUCACCUCCGUUGAAUCACUCUACCUGUAUUACUUGCCAGAUCUAUGUACACUCGAAGGAUUGUCUUCCUUGCACCUUAAAGAUGUACAUUUGAUUGACGUUCCGAAACUCACCCCCGAGUGUAUCUCACAGUUUCGAGUCAAGAAGUCACUCUAUGUUAGUAGCUCUGCUAUACUCAACAAAAUGCUUGCGGCUGAAGAUUUCACAGUUCCACCAUUUCUCUGUUUUGAAGCAUGCAAGGAACCAUUCAUUUCACUAGAAGAAUCUGCAUAUAUCACUUCUGUCAAGAUCCUGUGCUUCUUUAACUGUGAACUGAUUUCCCUGCCAACAAAUCUGAAGUGCUUCUCCAAUCUGAAGGAUCUACAUAUCUCUAGCUGCCCUAACAUAUCAUCUUUACCAGAUUUGCCAUCCUGCCUCCAGCGCAUUUUCUUAACGGGUUGUGGUGAGCUCUUGAAGGAGAGUUGCCGACAACCUGAUGGAAAAAGUUGGCCAAAGAUCGCGCAUAUCCGCAUCAAGGAAAUUAGUUCAACCGUGAUUUAG